GGAAUCGAAUCUGGAGAGAGACACCGGACGGCGCAUCGGCCGGCGUCCACCGAAGGGGCACGCGGCGCGCCAGCGCGCUGCAAUCUCUCAGGUACCGAGGACAGAGGGGUGCAA
Molecule: non-coding RNA, 114 nt
Filed under: Betaproteobacteria bacterium
Lineage: Bacteria; Pseudomonadati; Pseudomonadota; Betaproteobacteria
Description: Glycine sequence
Rfam family: Glycine riboswitch aptamer
About the family: This family represents the bacterial glycine riboswitch. Glycine riboswitches usually consist of two metabolite-binding aptamers domains with similar structures in tandem.
Source: RNAcentral